CUUGUUAUUUCUAUAAAUUUCUUUUCCUAAUGAUAAUUGAGACAGAUUUGUACUUUACGUUCUGAAUUUUAUGUUGUCAAUUAAAUCUUCAGGUCACAAAUUUAGUAGUAAUGUGUAGACAUCUAUUUCAAUGCAUUGUUUAUAGAGUGAAUAACUCGAGUAUGCGCUAAUUGUUCUUUGGUUGCUAAUUUUCUAAUCAAAUCCAUCAUGGUAACCAUGCCAUGUAGUUUCUAUUUCUAAAUGGAUUUUGAUGAUGAAGGUCCUCUAAUGGAGGGAGAAUGGUCAUUCCUCCAUCCCAUGUCCCCUAGGUAGGAUGCCAUGAAGUGCUUUAUAUUGGCAGGCACAUCCUUAAUUACCGUGACUUUUUCUAAAAGAAGUUGUGCACGUCUAAGGCCCAAAGUAAACAAUAUUAUGCUAGUGGGAUGGGUCUACAUCAGUUUGGCUUCAGAACUUAGGCAUGUGUGGGAUGUAUGAGGGAUCCUGCGAGGAUGAAUGUGCAUGAUGCAUUCCAUGAUUCCAAGCUUGUGUACGUGUUGGGUUGAGCAUAUGGUGAAAGUAACUUUGGAGAAUAUACAGAUAAAAGCAUUCUAGGCCUAGCCAGUGGUGGAUGAAGUAGAGAAAGAGAAUAAGAAGAUAGAUGGGCAGUCAGGACAGAUCAGUGAAACUUAGGAAGCAAUGAAGACUGCCGCAUCUCGUGGUCUCGAAUAUUUUUCAGUCCUUUUCUUGAAUUCAACCACAUGAUGACCCAUGUUAAAAGUUGGCUUCACUUGAUGACUCACGAAACGAUGAAGGUUUCAUAAGCAGAGUUGUCAGAGGCACGGACCGCCGCAUCUUGUGGUACACUUGUACUAAUUUUCUCCUUUUUCCUGAUCUUUGAUAUUAUGAUCUCUUGAAUCUUUUCAAAGUACUUCAACUUUAAAAUGUGGCUGCUCCGCUGCUAUGAUGUGACAAACUUUGUUAAGCAUAUUUGCCAGUUUUUUUUGUUCAAUUCGAUCACAUGAUGAACCAUGUUAAAAGGUUGGCUUCUCCUGAAAGACAGCUAAAUCUAAACUGCUGCAUUUGAAGGGGCUGUCACUUGCAUCUUCUGUUUAUAGGUUCUUGGAACAAUGUCAAACCUAUACAUAAUUUUAGAUAUCUUCCUUUGUGCCUAUGUAUUGUCCAUGGCUUCCGGUGCACAAAUUGGUGGCAUAUUGUACCAUUCCUUCUGUUCCUUUAUGAUUAAUUCUGGUUUUAAAGAUUUCGAUCAUGCGUUUUAACCCUUAAUUUUGACCCGUU
Tripterygium wilfordii is the source of this 1275-nucleotide long non-coding RNA. RefSeq lists it as uncharacterized. The transcript is spliced from 4 exons. The record is from RefSeq and is a predicted model, not a curated record. Lineage: Eukaryota; Viridiplantae; Streptophyta; Magnoliopsida; Celastrales; Celastraceae.